Molecule: non-coding RNA, 71 nt
Filed under: Entomoneis paludosa
Lineage: Eukaryota; Bacillariophyta; Bacillariophyceae; Surirellales; Surirellaceae
Source: RNAcentral
CAAAAUUCGAUACACCUUUUUCGUUUUUUUUUCUAAUUUUUUUCUAAGAAAAAAAAAAACAAAAACAACCA